This 514-nucleotide ribosomal RNA is filed under the name uncultured bacterium. RNAcentral's name for it is "partial 16S ribosomal RNA". It matches the Rfam family "Bacterial small subunit ribosomal RNA", at positions 28 to 523 of the family's 1533-position model. The record is from RNAcentral.
GAUGAACGCUGGCGGCGUGCCUAAUACAUGCAAGUCGAGCGAACAGAUGAGAAGCUUGCUUCUCUGAUGUUAGCGGCGGACGGGUGAGUAACACGUGGGUAACCUACCUAUAAGACUGGGAUAACUCCGGGAAACCGGGGCUAAUACCGGAUAAUAUUUUGAACCGCAUGGUUCAAUAGUGAAAGACGGUUUCGGCUGUCACUUAUAGAUGGACCCGCGCCGUAUUAGCUAGUUGGUAAGGUAACGGCUUACCAAGGCGACGAUACAUAGCGGACCUGGGAGGGUGAUCGGCCACAAUGGAACAGAGCCACGGUCCAGACUCCUACGGGAGGAAGCAGUAGGGAAUCUUCCGCAAUGGGCGAAAGCCUGACGGAGCAACGCCGCGUGAGUGAUGAAGGUCUUCGGAUCGUAAAACUCUGUUGUUAGGGAAGAACAAAUUUGUUAGUAACUGAACAAGUCUUGACGGUACCUAACCAGAAAGCCACGGCUAACUACGUGCCAGCAGCCGCCGUAA